GCGCCCGUAGCUCAAUAGGAUAGAGCAGUGGUUUCCUAAACCACCGGUCGGAGGUUCGAAUCCUCUCGGGCGCA
This 74-nucleotide transfer RNA is filed under the name bacterium. Its description in RNAcentral is "tRNA-Arg". It matches the Rfam family "tRNA". From Rfam's summary of the family: Transfer RNA (tRNA) molecules are approximately 80 nucleotides in length. The record is from RNAcentral. RNAcentral also lists the same sequence under 2 other names.